This 660-nucleotide long non-coding RNA is filed under the name Papio anubis (olive baboon). RNAcentral's name for it is "lncRNA (ENSPANG00000047312.1)". The record is from RNAcentral. Lineage: Eukaryota; Metazoa; Chordata; Mammalia; Primates; Cercopithecidae.
GAUUACACCAAACAUACCAUGACCAAAUUUCUGAAAAUCUGUGAGAAAUGGAAAAAAUCUUAAGCCAGAUUUUAAAAUGGCAUAAUACUUAUGUAGAUAUCAAGAUAAUUCCAUAGAAUUCUCGUUAUAAACUGAAAGCCAGAAGUAAAAAUGACAACUUCAAAAUGCUGAAUGAUGAGAAAGAAAACCUGUCAAUUCAGAAUUCUACAUCAAAAUUAUCUUUAAUAUGUUAAGGUAAUAAUAAAUAUUUUUUUAUGCAGAAAUGGUAUGAGAGAAGAGAAAUAAUUUCAGAGCUAUGCUAAAAAAUUAAGAGUCUUGGAAGUGCUAAAGGUAACAUUAAGUUCAGAAUCGAAGCCACAGAGUACAAGGGAUUGAUUUGCAGCAAAGCUGAUAACCCUCCAUUUUGGAAUGAAGCAUGGACAGAAAGAAGGCAAGUAUUCUUACCUUACAUUCACUAUAUAUUCAUUAGUAAAACUUUGGCUUGUGAUCCUCCAAAUGAGAAAUUAAUGAUAUAAAAAUAAUCACUACAUUAGAAUUGAAUUAUGUUCAAACUUUAUUUUGUUUAUGAGAAAGUUUAAGAUAGUUUAUCGUUAGCAAACCUAGAGAGGCUACCUAAAUGAGGAUACCUUUAGAGGAUACCUAAAUAAAGAUUAGUACCUU